This 270-nucleotide long non-coding RNA is filed under the name Fragaria vesca (wild strawberry). Its description in RNAcentral is "long non-coding RNA (FVES_LNC003653)". Lineage: Eukaryota; Viridiplantae; Streptophyta; Magnoliopsida; Rosales; Rosaceae. The record is from RNAcentral.
CCAUCACUGCCAUGUCCAACAACAGUUUUUAAUCUAAAACCCUAGGUUACACACGCAAUUUCAGUAGGUAACCACGUACUGCCAUUCUGGCAUGCUGAAUUAAACUGCUUUGAAACACACCAAACUGGAAAAUUGUAACUUGUUCUUCAAAAUUUGAUGUCUGUCGUCCAGGUACCUUGCACGCUUGGAUGUUUGGUUACAUGUCUAGUCCUCAGUUUCACCACUUUUCUUCCCAGUGAAUUCCUUAGCCUUGUUGCACACUGAAGAACU